AUCUAUUUUGCGUUUUCACCCAAGUUUUGGAGAAGGAGAGUCUCAUUUCAUACAAGUACAUUUAAGUCCACUUUCCCCUCUCCUGGCUGCUUAAUGUGCUUAAUUCCUGCGUCCUAUCUCCAAGGUAAUCGAGGUGAGGCAGUGAGGAGAGGGAAAGUGGACAAAAAAUUAGAUUGCAUUUGGAUUACUGUUACAGUGCUAUUUGGGUUAUUAAUUGGAUUUGUUCGGACAUUUCUUAAUUUCUUUCUUUUUACAUUGUGUGUAUUGUUUUGUAUUGCUAUGUUUUACUACACUGUUGGAGCGAGAAACACACAUUUCGCUGCACCUGCGAUAAUGUCUGCAAAUCUGUGUACGCUACCUGUUGGGUUCUGCUUUUCUUUUCUUAGUCAACCUUGUUAUUUUUAUUUGUGUUCUUGAACAUAGCCAUGUUUCUUUGUGUUCUGGAACAUAGCCCUGUCUUUCAUUUUUGUUGAUUGAUUUCACCUGUGUUCGGUCUCAUCAGUUCCCUAUUUAGUUCAGUUCUUUCUGUUUGUAUGAUUGUGAGGUUUUGUUUGUUUUUGACCAUUGCCUGCGACCAUGAUUCCUGCCUUUUGCAUCAGACUGUGGCCCUCAGUUCACCUCACUUGUAUGGAAAUAAUUAAUGGAACACCUGGGGAUCAUGGUCAGUCUCCCCUCUGGGUACUGUCCUCAAGCUAAUAGGCAGGUGGAGCAAGUUAAUUAGGAAGUGGGCAGUUUCCUGAUGUAUUACUAUCAGGACCGGUGGGGGAGUGGGUGUUUUUUUUUUUAACCUUGGGCGGAGUACGUGCAGCAUUCCCUCUGCCACUCCUCCACUAACCUCACCCCAACACGCACUUGAAAGGCGUAUCAGCCGGCCCUGGCACCUUGGCAUCCCAGCCUGACUGAGGUCCCUGCGGUGGACGAGUGGUUUCGGCGCGCUGAGGAGACCAGGAACGCUGCGCACACUCGUCUCCAGGGGGCUGUGUGUUGGCACAAGAAACAGGCUGACCGCCACUGCAACGAGGCGCCUGUUUUCUCUCCAGGCGACCAGGUCUGGCUCUCCACCUUUAACCUGCCCCUCCGCCUACCCUGCUGGAAGCUAAGUCUUUGGCUAGUGGUGUCUGGUCCCCUCGCUGAGGCUGAACCCUGUGACGCCCUGCCUCCUCUGGACAUCAAGGGAGGUCCGUCAUACUUGGUCAGUGAAGUCCUGGAUUCAAGGCGACAGGUGGGGCGUCUCCAGUACCUCAUCGACUGGGAGCGGUACGGCCCAGAGGAGUGGCGACGUGUUCCUGCGGUGGACAUCCUGGACGCUUCACUGACCAGGGUUUUUCACCAUUGGCGCCCUGACUGACCCACACCUUGUCCCUGAGGCCGGUACUCAGGUCUGUCUUGUCUCAUUACGCACACCUGGUUCCCCCAGAUUUAGUGUGCCCUCUUCCCCAUUGUGUUUUUUUUUCUCCAUUGAUGUUGAGUACCUUUGCUCUGUUGUAUUGUGCACUUGUUGUGUUAAAUGGAGACAUAAAACCCCUUAUUACGUA
This is a long non-coding RNA of Oncorhynchus keta (chum salmon), 1535 nucleotides long. RefSeq lists it as uncharacterized. The record is from RefSeq and is a predicted model, not a curated record. The transcript is spliced from 2 exons. NCBI's taxonomy places the organism in Eukaryota, Metazoa, Chordata, Actinopteri, Salmoniformes, Salmonidae.